GGCCGCAGUACUUUGACUGUGCUAAGGUAGCAUAAUAAAUUGACUUUUAAUUGAGGUCUAGAAUGAAAGGAACAAUGGACAAUUGCUGUCUUGUUUUAACUAAUAAAAAUUUACUUAAAAGGUGAAAAUUCCUUAAAAAUAAUAUAAUAGACGAGAAGACCCUAGGAGUUUUAAAAAUUUUGUUGGGGCGACAUUAUAGCAGCAUAAUUUGCUUAAACCUAUAAUUUUAAAUAAGAUUAUAUAACGAAAAGUGUUAAUUAAAAAUAAACUACCCUAGGGAUAACAGCAUAAUUUUAAUUUAGGUUUGUGACCUCGAUGUUGGACUAGGGACAUUUAAAAUUAACAGUGUUAAAUGAUAGUUCUGUUCGAACAUUUUACCCUACGUGAU
The sequence is a ribosomal RNA, 388 nucleotides long. It matches the Rfam family "Archaeal large subunit ribosomal RNA", at positions 2006 to 2673 of the family's 2987-position model.